CCUACGGGCGGCAGCAGUGAGGAAUAUUGGUCAAUGGGCGGGAGCCUGAACCAGCCAAGUCGCGUGAGGGAAGACGGUCCUAUGGAUUGUAAACCUCUUUAGGCGGGGAGCAAUGCCGGGCACGCGUGCCCGGAGGGAGAGUACCCGCAGAAUAAGCAUCGGCUAACUCCGUGCCGGCAGCCGCGGUAAUACGGGGGAUGCGGGCGUUAUCGGGAUUUUUUGGGUUUAAGGGGUGCGUUGGCGGAUUUUUAAGUCAGCGGUAAAAUGUGCGGGCUCAACCCGGGCCGGCCGUUGAAACUGGGGAUCUUGAGUGGGCGAGAAGUAUGCGGAAUGCGUGGUGUAGCGGUGAAAUGCAUAGAUAUCACGCAGAACUCCGAUUGCGAAGGCAGCAUACCGGCGUCCGACUGACGCUGAGGCACGAAAGCGUGGGGAUCGAACAGGAUUAGAUACCCGGGUAGUC
This 460-nucleotide ribosomal RNA is filed under the name uncultured bacterium. RNAcentral describes it as "partial 16S ribosomal RNA". It matches the Rfam family "Bacterial small subunit ribosomal RNA", at positions 338 to 795 of the family's 1533-position model. The record is from RNAcentral.